Molecule: ribosomal RNA, 409 nt
Filed under: Pseudobacillus badius
Lineage: Bacteria; Bacillati; Bacillota; Bacilli; Caryophanales; Bacillaceae
Description: bacterial SSU rRNA
Rfam family: Bacterial small subunit ribosomal RNA
Source: RNAcentral
AAGGUUUUCGGAUCGUAAAGCUCUGUUGUCAGGGAAGAACAAGUACCAAAGUAACUGUUGGUACCUUGACGGUACCUGACCAGAAAGCCACGGCUAACUACGUGCCAGCAGCCGCGGUAAUACGUAGGUGGCAAGCGUUGUCCGGAAUUAUUGGGCGUAAAGCGCGCGCAGGCGGCUUCUUAAGUCUGAUGUGAAAGCCCACGGCUCAACCGUGGAGGGUCAUUGGAAACUGGGAGGCUUGAGUGCAGAANAGGAGAGCGGAAUUCCACGUGUAGCGGUGAAAUGCGUAGAGAUGUGGAGGAACACCAGUGGCGAANGCGGCUCUCUGGUCUGUAACUGACGCUGAGGCGCGAAAGCGUGGGGAGCGAACAGGAUUAGAUACCCUGGUAGUCCACGCCGUAAACGAUGA